CCUACGGGAGGCAGCAGUGAGGAAUAUUGGUCAAUGGUCGGGAGACUGAACCAGCCAAGCCGCGUGAGGGAGGAAGGUACAGAGUAUCGUAAACCUCUUUUGUCAGGGAACAAAGGCGGGGACGUGUCCCCGGAUGAGUGUACCUGAAGAAAAAGCAUCGGCUAACUCCGUGCCAGCAGCCGCGGUAAUACGGAGGAUGCGAGCGUUAUCCGGAUUUAUGGGGUUGAAAGGGUGCGCAGGCGGUCUGUUAAGUCAGCGGUCAAAGCCCGGGGCUCAACCCCGGCCCGCCGUUGAAACUGGCAGUCUCGAGUUGGAGAGAAGUAUGCGGAAUGCGCGGUGUAGCGGUGAAAUGCAUAGAUAUCGCGCAGAACUCCGAUUGCGAAGGCAGCAUGCCGGCUCCACACUGACGCUGAGGCACGAAAGCGUGGGUAUCGAACAGGAUUAGAUACCCUUGUAGUC
Molecule: ribosomal RNA, 459 nt
Filed under: uncultured bacterium
Lineage: Bacteria
Description: partial 16S ribosomal RNA
Rfam family: Bacterial small subunit ribosomal RNA
Source: RNAcentral